CGUGAGGAACCUGCCUUUCAGAGGGGGGACAACAGUUGGAAACGACUGCUAAUACCGCAUAAUAUAUGUUUGUCGCAUGGCAGAUAUAUCAAAGAUUUAUCGCUGAGAGAUGGCCUCGCGUCUGAUUAGCUAGUUGGUAGGGUAAUGGCCUACCAAGGCGACGAUCAGUAGCCGGACUGAGAGGUUGGCCGGCCACAUUGGGACUGAGAUACGGCCCAGACUCCUACGGAAGGCAGCAG
RNAcentral lists this ribosomal RNA (239 nucleotides) under uncultured bacterium. Its description in RNAcentral is "partial 16S ribosomal RNA". It matches the Rfam family "Bacterial small subunit ribosomal RNA", at positions 116 to 354 of the family's 1533-position model. The record is from RNAcentral.